UCAGCCACUUCUGACAGAUGUGACACUUCCUUGCAUUUGAUGUUUGUCGGGUUCGAGGACAUGUGGAGACAAAUGGUGCUCUGAUCUGCAGGGAAGGAAUGCCAACUCUCACCCCAGCUGCAAACUGAGGCCAAAAGCCUGAGCUGACCGGGGGAUCAAAGGGUUGCAGGGGCAGCAGUCUCAGCAAAGACGUUCAGACUUCCCUCUCCCCAGACACCUCCUCCAGGUCCUCUGGUGGAAGUCCGAGGCAUUUCCAGGCCACCCGAGAGACAUAGUCCCUCCAGCAUGUCCUGGGCCGUCCCCUGGGCCUCCUCCUGGCGGGACCUGGAACACCUCUUGAGGGAGGCUUUCAGGAGGCAUCCGGAAUAGAUGCCCGAGCCACUUCAGCUGACUCCUCUGAAGGUGGAGGAGCAGCGGCUCUACUCCAAGCUCCUCCCGGAUGUCAUCAAGGACUCAGAUCUAAAUGUUAACAUCCACAUCUGACAUCCACUUUUAUUACUAAAUCAAUCUUCAAUUUUUUUUAAAACAUUGCCAAAAUAAAGU
Long non-coding RNA from Girardinichthys multiradiatus, 543 nucleotides. RefSeq lists it as uncharacterized. The record is from RefSeq and is a predicted model, not a curated record. NCBI's taxonomy places the organism in Eukaryota, Metazoa, Chordata, Actinopteri, Cyprinodontiformes, Goodeidae. The transcript has 3 exons.